AUUUAAAUAGCUUAUAUGAGUAGAGCAUAAUAUUGAAAAUAUUAAGGAAAAUUUUUUAAUUUUUUAAAUA
RNAcentral lists this transfer RNA (70 nucleotides) under Apis nuluensis. Its description in RNAcentral is "tRNA-Phe". Lineage: Eukaryota; Metazoa; Arthropoda; Insecta; Hymenoptera; Apidae. The record is from RNAcentral.